UAGAAAUGAUGUUCACUCUCUUCCUAGAC
This 29-nucleotide non-coding RNA is filed under the name Rattus norvegicus (Norway rat). Lineage: Eukaryota; Metazoa; Chordata; Mammalia; Rodentia; Muridae. The record is from RNAcentral.